GAUGAACGCUGGCGGCGUGCCUAAUACAUGCAAGUCGAGCGAACAGACGAGGAGCUUGCUCCUCUGACGUUAGCGGCGGACGGGUGAGUAACACGUGGAUAACCUACCUAUAAGACUGGGAUAACUUCGGGAAACCGGAGCUAAUACCGGAUAAUAUAUUGAACCGCAUGGUUCAAUAGUGAAAGACGGUUUUGCUGUCACUUAUAGAUGGUUCCGCGCCGCAUUAGCUAGUUGGUAAGGUAACGGCUUACCAAGGCAACGAUGCGUAGCCGACCUGAGAGGGUGAUCAGCCACACUGGAACUGAGACACGGUCCAGACUACUACGGGAGGCAGCAGUAGGGAAUCUUCCGCAAUGGGCGAAAGCCUGACGGAGCAACGCCGCGUGAGUGAUGAAGGUCUUCGGAUCGUAAAACUCUGUUAUUAGGGAAGAACAAAUGUGUAAGUAACUAUGCACGUAUUGACGGUACCUAAUCAGAAAGCCACGGCUAACUACGUG
RNAcentral lists this ribosomal RNA (497 nucleotides) under uncultured bacterium. RNAcentral describes it as "partial 16S ribosomal RNA". It matches the Rfam family "Bacterial small subunit ribosomal RNA", at positions 28 to 507 of the family's 1533-position model. The record is from RNAcentral.